RNAcentral lists this unclassified non-coding RNA (1010 nucleotides) under Hevea brasiliensis (rubber tree). Lineage: Eukaryota; Viridiplantae; Streptophyta; Magnoliopsida; Malpighiales; Euphorbiaceae. The record is from RNAcentral.
AUUGAAUUGAAUUCUUGUAAAAUUUUAGUUUCCAAACACGGGGAAAGUGGCAAGUCAAUCACCAUUUAAGGACAAAUAUUUACUUUCUGGAAGAAGCAAGGAAAGUUGCAAAAAUAAUUACCAAAAAAUGCUCAAUAAAAAAAGGCAUUUUUGACACUGUUUUUCUCCUCAUAUGCUAGAACCAAACAAAGCAUGGAUAACUAAUAUAAGAAAAAUAGAAUGAGAACAAGUUUGAAAAGGAGCGAUGAAACAUUAAGAUUAAAAAUGAAGGUACAUUAUACUUGACCCUUGUUUGUGUAAACUCCAUAUAUAUAUUUAUUUUCUUCUUACAUUGGUUUACACAAUUAAGACUUGGAUAUUGGAAACAUGGUUUAAGGUUUCACACAAUUUCUUAAUAGUACAAGGAUAUUUCAUGAUAUCAGUUUAGCAUCUAAUUCAGUUCAAAUCAGAUGAUAUGAUAGAAUGACAUAGAACUUUAACAAUAGAAGAAGCAAAAACAAGCAAAGAGGAAGCAAUGAUUAUGAUUGGAGGAACAUUGGUUUAUAAAUUUGGAAUUCCCAGGGUGUUCAUCAAUAAAAAUGGGAAGCAGCUGGAUGAUUCAAAUUACUAAUUUUUUCCUUUGCUCACCCCUAAUCUCAGUGCAACUUGGAGCACAUCAUCAAGGGAAAAGAGAUAAAACAGCAUAUGUAGACACAAAACAAUGCCUACUUGCUCAAGCUAAGAAGUACGAUAUGUGUGUAUUCAUCAACGAAAUCUAACCUAAUAACAUAUAUACAUAAAGAGACUAUUUGAUCAAUCAAACUUACAAAAUUAGGACUUGCUCAGUCCUGCAACUGCUUUGGCCAAAUUGACUGUGGGCCAAAAAACCAUUACCCCAAUUAUAGGUAUUAAACAUUUUAAAUGGACUGGAGUUGCAUAUGGCUACCGAGUGUAUGUAUCUAAGCAGGCAGCAACUUCCAACUUACUAGACUCAAUUUGAGACAGUAUCAAAAUAAAUAAAUAAAUAAAUA